GAUGAACGCUGGCGGCGUGCUUAACACAUGCAAGUCGAACGGAAAGGCCCAAGCUUGCUUGGGUACUCGAGUGGCGAACGGGUGAGUAACACGUGGGUGAUCUGCCCUGCACUUCGGGAUAAGCCUGGGAAACUGGGUCUAAUACCGGAUAGGACCACUUCUUGGAUGUUGUGGUGGAAAGUUUUUUCGGUGUGGGAUGAGCUCGCGGCCUAUCAGCUUGUUGGUGGGGUAAUGGCCUACCAAGGCGUCGACGGGUAGCCGGCCUGAGAGGGUGUACGGCCACCUUGGGACUUGGAUACGGCCCCGACUCCUACGGGGGGCAGCAGUGGGGAAUAUUGCACAAUGGGCGCGAGCCUGAUGCAGCGACGCCGCGUGGGGGAUGACGGCCUUCGGGUUGUAAACUCCUUUCGCUAGGGACGAAGCGUUUUGUGACGGUACCUGGAGAAGAAGCACCGGCUAACUACGUG
RNAcentral lists this ribosomal RNA (467 nucleotides) under uncultured bacterium. RNAcentral describes it as "partial 16S ribosomal RNA". It matches the Rfam family "Bacterial small subunit ribosomal RNA", at positions 28 to 507 of the family's 1533-position model. The record is from RNAcentral.